GCCAAACACCAAGCCCCAAAUAACACCUCAAAAACAAAAACACAAAAAACAAACCAUUUGACAAAACCAGUAAAGGAGAUUAAACAUUAACCAUGGGAGCAAUAGACACAGUACCGUGAGGGAAAAAUGAAAGACAAUGAAACACCCAAAAGCAAAAAAAAGCAAAGAUCAACCCUUGUACCUAUUGCAUCACGGUCUAGCAAGAACUAUGCAGACAUGGAGAUCCAGCCUGCCCUCCCGAAACCAAGUGAGCUACCUUAGAGCAGCCAAAAGGGCUAACCCAUCCCUGUAGCAAAAGGGUGGGAAGACUUUAAGAUAGCGGUGAAAAGCCUACCGAACUUGCUGAUAGCUGGUUGCCUGAUAAAUGAACCUAAAUUCAACCUUAAAUUUAACAAAACCAAUUCUUGUAAAAAAUUAAUUUAAGAUUUAUUCAACGGGGGUACAGCCCCGUUGAAACGGGAUUCAACCCGAAGCAAAGAACUAGUUUUUCAUCACACACCAGUUGGCCUUAAAGCAGCCACCAUAAAAAAUAGCGUCACAGCACUGUUUACCAAAAAAUUACAAACAAAAAAACAACCUCUUGCCAACAAACCAGGCUUCUCUAUACAAAUAUAGAGGAACUAAUGCUAGAACUAGUAACAAGAACCAAUCUCUUCCGCACAACUGUAAAUCAGAAAUAGAAAAUCUACUGAAAAUUAACGAGAACAUACAAUAACAUUUAUAUGGUAUAAACACAACCGUUACACCAACACAGGUGUGCCUGAAAGAAAGAUAAAAAGUUAAAGAAGGAACUCGGCAAAAACUUGUCCCAACUGUUUACCAAAAACAUAGCCUUUAGCAUAUUUUAAGUAUUAAAGGUGGCGCCUGCCCAGUGAGCAAUUCAACGGCCGCGGUAUCCUAACCGUGCAAAGGUAGCGUAAUCACUUGUUCCCUAAAUAGGGACCUGUAUGAACGGCUAAAUGAGGACUAAUCUGUCUCCUCUAACUAAUCAGUGAAACUGAUCUGCCAGUACAAAAGCUGGCAUUUUUCCAUAAGACGAGAAGACCCUGUGGAGCUUUAAAUCUUAAGCCACAAACCACUAAUUUUAAAUAGUACACUAUGGCCCAAAAUUUUAAGUUGGGGCGACUUCGGAAAAAAACAAAACUUCCGAGCAUAAAGAAUAUUAAUCUUACCAAGACCCACAAGUCAAAGCAAAAUCAGACCCAGUAAAACUGAUCACCGAACCAAGUUACCCCAGGGAUAACAGCGCAAUCCUCUUCAAGAGUCCAUAUCGACAAGAGGGUUUACGACCUCGAUGUUGGAUCAGGACACCCAAAUGGUGCAGCCGCUAUUAAAGGUUCGUUUGUUCAACGAUUAAUAGUCCUACGUGAUCUGAGUUCAGACCGGAGUAAUCCAGGUCGGUUUCUAUCUAUGCCGUUGUUUUCUUUAGUACGAAAGGACCAAGAAAACAGAACCCCUGUUAACAACACGUUCUAAGAUUAUAGAUUAAACUCAGCUAAAAUCUAAAACAAAACAAACCAACACCCGAAAAUCACGGGUUA
This 1541-nucleotide ribosomal RNA is filed under the name Uta stansburiana. Its description in RNAcentral is "16S ribosomal RNA". It matches the Rfam family "Bacterial large subunit ribosomal RNA", at positions 379 to 2854 of the family's 2925-position model. Lineage: Eukaryota; Metazoa; Chordata; Lepidosauria; Squamata; Phrynosomatidae. The record is from RNAcentral.